Molecule: non-coding RNA, 102 nt
Organism: Prunus avium (sweet cherry)
Lineage: Eukaryota; Viridiplantae; Streptophyta; Magnoliopsida; Rosales; Rosaceae
Source: RefSeq, a predicted model, not a curated record
CUCUGCUGUCACAUCCAUGCCUUUUAUCAUUGCUUCCACCUCAGGUUCAGGUGCUAUUUUCAGAGCUGGCAAUGGUGGAAGAAGAGAUUAGUAGGCUGGAAA